GGGGAUGACGUCAAGUCAUCAUGCCCUUACGAGUAGGGCUACACACGUGCUACAAUGGCAGAUACAAAGAGAAGCGACCUCGCGAGAGCAAGCGGAACUCAUAAAGUCUGUCGUAGUCCGGAUUGGAGUCUGCAACUCGACUCCAUGAAGUCGGAAUCGCUAGUAAUCGUAGAUCAGAAUGCUACGGUGAAUACGUUCCCGGGCCUUUGUACACACCGCCCGUCACACCAUGGGAGUGGGUUGCAAAAGAAGUAGGUAGCUUAACCUUCGGGAGGGCGCUUACCACUUUUGUGAUUCAUGACUGGGGUGAAGUCGUAACAAGGUAACCGUAGGGGAACCUGCGGUUGGAUCACCUCCUUACCUAAGAGA
Molecule: ribosomal RNA, 369 nt
Filed under: Shigella sp. FC1967
Lineage: Bacteria; Pseudomonadati; Pseudomonadota; Gammaproteobacteria; Enterobacterales; Enterobacteriaceae
Description: bacterial SSU rRNA
Rfam family: Bacterial small subunit ribosomal RNA
Source: RNAcentral